CAUGGCGCUGGUGGCGUGCCUAACACAUGCAAGUCGUAACAAGGUAACCGUUCGCCUGCACNCGGGUGCCGUACGGGUGAGUAAUACAUCGGAACGUGCCCGAUCGUGGGGGAUAACGAGGCGAAAGCUUUGCUAAUACCGCAUACGAUCUACGGAUGAAAGCGGGGGAUCUUCGGACCUCGCGCGGACGGAGCGGCCGAUGGCAGAUUAGGUAGUUGGUGGGAUAAAAGCUUACCAAGCCGACGAUCUGUAGCUGGUCUGAGAGGAUGAUCAGCCACACUGGGACUGAGACACGGCCCAGACUCCUACGGGAGGCAGCAGUGGGGAAUUUUGGACAAUGGGCGAAAGCCUGAUCCAGCCAUGCCGCGUGCAGGAUGAAGGCCUUCGGGUUGUAAACUGCUUUUGUACGGAACGAAAAGCCUCUUUCUAAUAAAGAGGGGUCAUGACGGUACCGUAAGAAUAAGCACCGGCUAACUACGUGCCAGCAGCCGCGGUAAUACGUAGGGUGCAAGCGUUAAUCGGAAUUACUGGGCGUAAAGCGUGCGCAAGCGGUUUU
Molecule: ribosomal RNA, 556 nt
Filed under: bacterium HPC773
Lineage: Bacteria
Description: bacterial SSU rRNA
Rfam family: Bacterial small subunit ribosomal RNA
Source: RNAcentral